AGGGGAAACCUUAGAACCCCUUUGCGAGAGUGUUAAUAGUCAAUAGCUUGGCCGGCUUUGACGGUUAGUGAAUC
RNAcentral lists this non-coding RNA (74 nucleotides) under unclassified sequences. RNAcentral describes it as "L13-Bacteroidia ribosomal protein leader". It matches the Rfam family "L13-Bacteroidia ribosomal protein leader". The record is from RNAcentral.